RNAcentral lists this ribosomal RNA (1482 nucleotides) under metagenome. RNAcentral's name for it is "bacterial SSU rRNA". It matches the Rfam family "Bacterial small subunit ribosomal RNA". The record is from RNAcentral.
AGAGUUUGAUCCUGGCUCAGGACGAACGCUGGCGGCGUGCUUAACACAUGCAAGUCGAACGAAGCUUGAUUACGGAUUCUUCGGAUGAAGUAUGAUAUGACUGAGUGGCGGACGGGUGAGUAACGCGUGAGUAACCUGCCCUUCAGAGGGGGAUAGCGUUUGGAAACGAACGGUAAUACCGCAUAAUGUAUUUUGACCGCAUGAUCGAAAUACCAAAGAUUUAUCGCUGAAGGAUGGACUCGCGUCUGAUUAGGUAGUUGGUGGGGUAACGGCUUACCAAGCCGACGAUCAGUAGCCGGACUGAGAGGUUGAUCGGCCACAUUGGGACUGAGACACGGCCCAGACUCCUACGGGAGGCAGCAGUGGGGAAUAUUGCACAAUGGGCGCAAGCCUGAUGCAGCAACGCCGCGUGAAGGAAGACGGUUUUCGGAUUGUAAACUUCUGUUCUUAGUGAAGAAUAAUGACGGUAGCUAAGGAGCAAGCCACGGCUAACUACGUGCCAGCAGCCGCGGUAAUACGUAGGUGGCAAGCGUUGUCCGGAAUUACUGGGUGUAAAGGGAGCGCAGGCGGGUGAUCAAGUCAGCUGUGAAAACUACGGGCUUAACCCGUAGACUGCAGUUGAAACUGUUCAUCUUGAGUGAAGCAGAGGUAGGCGGAAUUCCCGGUGUAGCGGUGGAAUGCGUAGAUAUCGGGAGGAACACCAGUGGCGAAGGCGGCCUACUGGGCACCAACUGACGCUGAGGCUCGAAAGUGUGGGUAGCAAACAGGAUUAGAUACCCUAGUAGUCCACACCGUAAACGAUGAUUACUAGGUGUUGGAGGAUUGACCCCUUCAGUGCCGCAGUUAACACAAUAAGUAAUCCACCUGGGGAGUACGACCGCAAGGUUGAAACUCAAAGGAAUUGACGGGGGCCCGCACAAGCAGUGGAGUAUGUGGUUUAAUUCGACGCAACGCGAAGAACCUUACCAAGUCUUGACAUCCUGCGACGGUUCUGGAAACAGAGCUUUCCUUCGGGACGCAGAGACAGGUGGUGCAUGGUUGUCGUCAGCUCGUGUCGUGAGAUGUUGGGUUAAGUCCCGCAACGAGCGCAACCCUUAUGGUCAGUUACUACGCAAGGGGACUCUGGCCAGACUGCCGUUGACAAAACGGAGGAAGGUGGGGAUGACGCCAAAUCAUCAUGCCCUUUAUGACUUGGGCUACACACGUACUACAAUGGCGUUAAACAAAGAGAAGCAAGACCGCGAGGUGGAGCAAAACUCAGAAACGACGUCCCAGUUCGGACUGCAGGCUGCAACUCGCCUGCACGAAGUCGGAAUUGCUAGUAAUCGUGGAUCAGCAUGCCACGGUUAAUACGUUCCCGGGCCUUGUACACACCGCCCGUCACACCAUGAGAGCCGGGGGGACCCGAAGUCGGUAGUCUAACCGCAAGGAGGACGCCGCCGAAGGUAAAACUGGCGAUUGGGGUGAAGUCGUAACAAGGUA